AUCACAGCAGAUACAGAGGACUGGGAAAACGAGGGCCUCUUGGAGAUUUUAGAACACCUUGAAAGAUUGCAGAACUCAGAGGUUCCUAUGGCGUCCCAGCAAACAAAACAGACCAUGAAACAUGAAGAAAUCACGUAAUUAGUUCAUGUUUGUAUAGGGCUUUGAGCAGGCAAAUUUCCAGAAGAAUGGCUGCUUUUAAUAACUCAUCACGGAGCACGAAGGCAUUAGAGGUUAUGGAAUGAGAGCCUCCCAACAACAUCAAUAAAGGGAAAAGAUCCAAGAAGCAGCAUCGGAGGACUUCAUGGCAGAGAAGCUAAGCAUGAACAUCACUCCACACUGAUUGUUGCUCUAGGUGCUGGCAGCUGUGCACCAAUGGUAUGCUGUGAGGAGGAAACAAGGUAUGCAUUUUUUAUUCAUUUAAUUUUCCUGGCAUAAGUAA
This is a long non-coding RNA of Trachemys scripta elegans, 439 nucleotides long. RefSeq lists it as uncharacterized. The transcript is spliced from 4 exons. The record is from RefSeq and is a predicted model, not a curated record. NCBI's taxonomy places the organism in Eukaryota, Metazoa, Chordata, Testudines, Emydidae.